CCUAGAGUUGUAGGCUUUGCCUGCUAUCUCUUACCCAUGUCUUUUGAGUACCUUCGUUUCCUCGGCGGGUCCGCCCGCCGAUUGGACAAUUUAAACCAUUUGCAGUUGGCAAUCAGCGUCUGAAAAAACUUAAUAGUUA
Molecule: unclassified non-coding RNA, 139 nt
Filed under: soil metagenome
Description: partial internal transcribed spacer 1
Source: RNAcentral